AAUCGUCAUGCUUUAUAAAGAGAGAGAAAAACAAGAAAAAAAAAAAAAAAGCCCCACAGAAACCAAAAACAAAAAAUCUAGAGAGAGAAGGUGUGGCCGCAACACUAUAUACAAAAAACCAAAAUUUUUUCACACCUCUGAUUCUGCCUUUGAUUGCGGAACCAUCCCUUCCUUUCUCUCUUGUUUGGUUUUUUCUUUUCUUUUCCUUUCCGUCGAGUUGUUUCUUCUUCUUCAUUUUUUUUUUUUUGGGACUUCCGGCGAUACGAUGUCGUCGGGAGGUGCAAACAACUCGACAAACGGGAGCCCAGUACCAGGGGGACCCACCACGACAAGGCGACGCGUGGCAGAUCUUCCAACAACAGAGUCCGACAACUAUAAUUCAUCUUCCUGUUCGGACUAUCAUACCCUCGCCUCUAACGAUGAAGAAGCUGACAACUCCAACGGUUACAUUCCCUCCAGUUCUUCCUACGGGUCCCAUUAUUUCCACCACCACCAAAACCAUCACCCCGUGAUCAGGUAUCUGUUGAUUCGCAGGAAGUUGUUAUUCUCUUGGGUGCCUGACACGUGGUUCCUAUGGAUUGAAGACACGUGUCUCUGGUCGGUUAAUAUAGCUCAGAGUUUGAGAUCCUGCAGGAACAUGGGCCGUAACAUCUUCGGAUUUCUGUUGUUAAUGGCGGUUGUUUCCGUUUUUAUCAAAGUUUCACUUCUUAGUAGUCACGUUGAGGUUAACGGCAUAUGGAAAAAACAAAAUGGACUAUUGAUCUUGCAGACGUUUAAAGAAGAUUGGGCCUUGGCCCAAAGAGUUGUCGCCGAGACCCAUGUCGAACCCGAUACUGACCUCUCUAUGCCCAAACGCGUUCUUGAAAGGGUCUCUACCCCAGAAAUUUGGAUGAAACCAAACAGUGACAAUUAUCAACAAUGUAUAUCUCGACCUAAGAAACGAAUAAGGACUGGAUCAAAAUCUAAUGCGUAUAUUAUUGUUCAUGCCAAUGGUGGACUGAAUCAAAUGAGAACAGGAAUAUGUGAUAUGGUUGCUGUUGCCAAGAUAAUGAAUGCCACCCUGGUUCUUCCUUCUCUUGAUCAUGAGUCAUUUUGGACAGACCCAAGUGAUUUUAAGGAUAUUUUUGACUGGAGGCACUUCAUCAAUGUACUGAAAGAUGAUAUUGAGAUUGUUGAGUAUCUACCCGUUAAGUACACAGCAAUAAAGCCCGUGGUAAAGGCCCCUGUUUCCUGGUCAAAGGCUAGUUACUACAGAAGGGAGGUGCUCCCAUUGCUAAAGCGGCAUAAGGUGAUCAAGUUCACGCACAGUGAUUCAAGGCUUGCUAAUAAUGGCAUUGCAACCUUCAUUCAAAGACUUAGGUGCCGUGCCAAUUAUGAGGCUCUCCGCUAUACAAAAGAGAUAGAGGAUCUUGGGAGGACUUUAGUUGAUAGACUAAAGAACAAUAAUGAGCCAUACAUUGCUUUACACUUAAGGUAUGAGAAGGAUAUGCUUGCAUUCACAGGCUGCAUCCAUAACCUUACUGCAGAAGAGGGUGAUGACCUCACGGUUAUGAGAUACAAUGUUAGACAUUGGAAGGAGAAAGAGAUAGAUAGUGAAGAGCGGCGUAGUCAAGGGGGAUGUCCGAUGACCCCUAGAGAGGCAGCCAUUUUCCUCAAGGCCAUGGGUUACCCUUCCAGCACGCCUAUCUACAUUGUUGCAGGAGAGAUCUAUGGCAGCAAUAGCAUGGCAGCCUUUCGUUCAGAGUAUCCGAAUGUCUUCUCUCAUUUUACUUUGGCAACUGAAGAAGAGUUGGAGCUGUUCAAGCCAUAUCAGAAUCGCCUUGCUGCCUUGGAUUAUAUUGUGGCACUUGAAAGUGAAGUCUUUAUUUAUACCUAUUAUGGGAAUAUGGCUAAAGCCGUACAGGGGCACAGACGGUUUGAAGGAUUUCGAAAGACCAUCAACCCUGAUAAAAAAAAUUUUGUCAAACUCAUUGACCAACUGGAUGAGGGUGUAAUAUCUUGGGAGAAGUUUUCUUUGGAAGUAAAGAGUUUACACUCUGACAGGCUUGGAGCGCCAUACCUAAGACAACCGGGAGAGUCACCGCGACUAGAGGAGAAUUUUUAUGCAAAUCCCCUUCCUGGGUGCAUUUGUAACAGAUCUCGGGAGCAGCAAAUUAGCAGCCUGAAGUUUGAUCGGCACUUGAGUUCAGUUAAAAGAUAGUAUAUUAGUUAGUGGAUUAUGUCAGUUAAAUUAUACACUGCCCUCUGAAGGAGGAUGGCUGAUAAGGAUUCUUGAAUUAAGUGCUUUCCCCCGGUAGGGAGACUUGCAGCAGAGGCCUACAGGGCUGAGAAAUCUUACGGUUUCUGAUUUCUCAUGAGAUUUGGUGUCAGCUGAAUUAUACAGUACCAGUUUCAGUUUUGUUAGGGGACCUACAGGGCUGAGAAAUCUUAUGGUUUCUGAUUUCUCGUGAGAUUUGGUGUCAACUGAAUUAUACAGUACCAGUUUCAGUAUUGUUAGGGGACCCAACCAGCAACUUUUGUAAGCAGAGAAGAUGAUGUAUAAUUCUGAGGCAAAUCAGUUUUUUCCCUUAUGUGAAGGCAAUAUCUGUACUGCUGUAAGUAUAAGGACUAGAGUCUAUCAAAGUGAUUCGCGGUGAGUCUCUGCUUUAUUGUCAUGAUGAAGGAAACAGUCCCGAUCUUAUUCGGUAAAGUAAGGGAAAAAAAAGAAGGAAAUGAAAAAAAAAAAUGAAGACAAUCAAUCCUGUUGGCAGAAUGUGAUUCUAUGGACAAAUAAAGAAAGGUUUUAUACAGUUUUUGUUUUCUAAUGACUUCAGAACAACUAGCAGUUGCCUUUCCAAACUGAUUCUGCCGCAAUGUCAGGUUUAAAUUAAUGAAAAAAGAAUCGAAAUUUCGCUGCUCAGCUGGAUUUAAGGUAACUUUUAGCUCAUAUUACACAUGAAGCUCCGAGCUCGUAUUAUUGAAGCAAUAUUUGAUGCUUCUCUUU
RNA transcript from Durio zibethinus, 2983 nucleotides. It is a transcript of the gene named O-fucosyltransferase 19-like, with no coding region annotated. The record is from RefSeq and is a predicted model, not a curated record. NCBI's taxonomy places the organism in Eukaryota, Viridiplantae, Streptophyta, Magnoliopsida, Malvales, Malvaceae.